RNAcentral lists this unclassified non-coding RNA (229 nucleotides) under plant metagenome. Its description in RNAcentral is "partial contains small subunit ribosomal RNA, internal transcribed spacer 1, and 5.8S ribosomal RNA". The record is from RNAcentral.
UCUCCGUAGGUGAACCUGCGGAGGGAUCAUUACAGAGUUCAUGCCCUAACGGGUAGAUCUCCCACCCUAUGUUAUCAUCACUUUGUUGCUUUGGCGGGCCGUCAGGCCUUGGCUUGGCUACCGGCUCUCGCUGGUAAGCGCCCGCCAGAGAACCCCAAACCCUGAAUAUCAGUGUCGUCUGAGUACUAUAUAAUAGUUAAAACUUUCAACAACGGAUCUCUUGGUUCUG